UAGGGAAUCUUCCGCAAUGGGCGAAAGCCUGACGGAGCAACGCCGCGUGAGUGAAGAAGGAUUUCGGUUCGUAAAGCUCUGUUGUUAGGGAAGAAUGAUUGUGUAGUAACUAUACACAGUAGAGACGGUACCUAACCAGAAAGCCACGGCUAACUACGUGCCAGCAGCCGCGGUAAUACGUAGGUGGCAAGCGUUGUCCGGAAUUAUUGGGCGUAAAGCGCGCGCAGGUGGUUUAAUAAGUCUGAUGUGAAAGCCCACGGCUCAACCGUGGAGGGUCAUUGGAAACUGUUAAACUUGAGUGCAGGAGAGAAAAGUGGAAUUCCUAGUGUAGCGGUGAAAUGCGUAGAGAUUAGGAGGAACACCAGUGGCGAAGGCGGCUUUUUGGCCUGUAACUGACGCUGAGGCUCGAAAGCGUGGGGAGCGAACAGGAUUAGAUACCCUGGUAGUCCACGCCGUAAACGACGAGUGCUAGGUGCUAGGUCCUUUCCGGGACUUAGUGCCGCAGCUAACGCAUUAAGCACUCCGCCUGGGGAGUACGACCGCAAGGUUG
RNAcentral lists this ribosomal RNA (550 nucleotides) under uncultured bacterium. RNAcentral's name for it is "bacterial SSU rRNA". It matches the Rfam family "Bacterial small subunit ribosomal RNA", at positions 355 to 896 of the family's 1533-position model. The record is from RNAcentral.